UACGUAGGUGGCAAGCGUUGUCCGGAUUUACUGGGCGUAAAGGGCGUGCAGGCGGUCUGUUAAGUUCAGGGUGAAAGCUCCCGGCUCAACUGGGAGAGGUCCUUGGAUACUGGCGGACUUGAGGAGUGCAGAGGUGAGUGGAAUUCUCGGUGUAGUGGUGAAAUGCGUAGAUAUCGAGAGGAACACCAGUGGCGAAGGCGGCUCACUGGGCACCACCUGACGCUGAGGCGCGAAAGCGUGGGGAGCAAACGGG
This 253-nucleotide ribosomal RNA is filed under the name uncultured bacterium. RNAcentral's name for it is "partial 16S ribosomal RNA". It matches the Rfam family "Bacterial small subunit ribosomal RNA", at positions 524 to 776 of the family's 1533-position model. The record is from RNAcentral.